GACGAACGCUGGCGGCGUGCCUAAUACAUGCAAGUAGAACGCUGAAGGAGGAGCUUGCUUCUCUGGAUGAGUUGCGAACGGGUGAGUAACGCGUAGGUAACCUGCCUGGUAGCGGGGGAUAACUAUUGGAACCGAUAGCUAAUACCGCAUAAGAGUAGAUGUUGCAUGACAUUUGCUUAAAAGGUGCAAUUGCAUCACUACCAGAUGGACCUGCGUUGUAUUAGCUAGUUGGUGGGGUAACGGCUCACCAAGGCGACGAUACAUAGCCGACCUGAGAGGGUGAUCGGCCACACUGGGACUGAGACACGGCCCAGACUCCUACGGGAGGCAGCAGUAGGGAAUCUUCGGCAAUGGACGGAAGUCUGACCGAGCAACGCCGCGUGAGUGAAGAAGGUUUUCGGAUCGUAAAGCUCUGUUGUAAGAGAAGAACGAGUGUGAGAGUGGAAAGUUCACACUGUGACGGUAUCUUACCAGAAAGGGACGGCUAACUACGUG
RNAcentral lists this ribosomal RNA (495 nucleotides) under uncultured bacterium. RNAcentral describes it as "partial 16S ribosomal RNA". It matches the Rfam family "Bacterial small subunit ribosomal RNA", at positions 28 to 507 of the family's 1533-position model. The record is from RNAcentral.